RNAcentral lists this ribosomal RNA (253 nucleotides) under uncultured bacterium. Its description in RNAcentral is "partial 16S ribosomal RNA". It matches the Rfam family "Bacterial small subunit ribosomal RNA", at positions 524 to 776 of the family's 1533-position model. The record is from RNAcentral.
UACGGAGGGUGCAAGCGUUAAUCGGAAUCACUGGGCGUAAAGCGCGCGUAGGUGGCUAUUUAAGUCAGAUGUGAAAGCCCUGGGCUCAACCUGGGAAUGGCAUUUGAUACUGGAUAGCUAGAGUAUGGUAGAGGUGAGUGGAAUUUCAGGUGUAGCGGUGAAAUGCGUAGAGAUCUGAAGGAACAUCAGUGGCGAAGGCGACUCACUGGGCCAUUACUGACACUGAGGUGCGAAAGCGUGGGUAGCAAACAGG